GAGAGAGGGAGCCCAGAGAUGGAUCCUGAGACACGAAUCCAGGCCCUACGGGGCGCAGCAGUCGCGAAAACUUCACAAUGGGGGCAACCCCGAUGAGGGAACUCCUAGUGCUAUCGCUAUUUUGUGAUAGCUUUUCUUAAGCGUAGAUAACUUAAGGAAUAAGGGCUGGGUAAGACGGGUGCCAGCCGCCGCGGUAAUACCCGCAGCCCAAGUGGUGGUCGAUUUUAUUGAGUCUAAAACGUUCGUAGCCGGUUCAUUAAAUCCUUGGGUAAAUCGGGAAGCUUAACUUUCCGACUUCCGAGGAGACUGGUGAACUUGGGACCGGGAGAGGCAAGAGGUACUUCUGGGGUAGGGGUAAAAUCCUGUAAUCCUAGAAGGACCACCGGUGGCGAAGGCGUCUUGCUAGAACGGAUCCGACGGUGAGGGACGAAGCCCUGGGUCGCAAACGGGAUUAGAUACCCCGGUAGUCCAGGGUGUAAACGCUGCAGACUUGGUGUUGGAGACCCUUCGUGGGUGUUCAGUGCCGGAGAGAAGUUGUUAAGUCUGCUACUUGGGGAGUACGUCCGCAAGGAUGAAACUUAAAGGAAUUGGCGGGGGAGCACCGCAACGGGAGGAACGUGCGGUUUAAUUGGAUUCAACACCGGAAAACUCACCAGCAGCGACUAUUACAUGAAAGUCAG
This 680-nucleotide ribosomal RNA is filed under the name uncultured archaeon. Its description in RNAcentral is "bacterial SSU rRNA". It matches the Rfam family "Archaeal small subunit ribosomal RNA", at positions 278 to 957 of the family's 1478-position model. The record is from RNAcentral.